RNAcentral lists this long non-coding RNA (1112 nucleotides) under Oncorhynchus kisutch (coho salmon). RNAcentral describes it as "lncRNA (ENSOKIG00005046797.1)". The record is from RNAcentral. Lineage: Eukaryota; Metazoa; Chordata; Actinopteri; Salmoniformes; Salmonidae.
AGUUAAUAAACAGAUCACUGACCAUUUCAAAUCCCACCGUACAUUCUCUGCUGUGCAAUCCAGUUUCCGAGCUGGUCACAGGUGCACCACAGCCACGCUCAAGGUACUAAACAAUAUCAUAACCACCAUCGAUAAAAUACAGUACUGUGCAGCCGUCUUCAUCGACCUGGCCAAGGCUUUCGACUCUGUCAAUAACCACAUUCUUAUCGGCAGACUCAAUAGCCUUGGUUUUUCAAAUGACUGCCUUGCGUGGUUCACCAACUACUUCACAGACAAGAGUUCAGCGUGUCAAAUCGGAGUGCCUGUUGUCCGGACCUCUGGCAGUCUCUAUGGGGGUACCACAGGGUUCAAUUCUCGGGCUGACUCUUUUCUCUGUAUAUAUCGGUCUGGCUGCAGGUGAUUCCCUGAUCCACCUCUACGCAGACGACACCAUUCUGUAUACAUCUGGCCCUUCUUUGGACACUGUGUUAACUAACCUCCAAACGAGCUUCAAUGCCAUACAACACUCCUUCCGUGGCCUCCAACUGCUCUUAAACUCUAGUAAAACCAAAUGCAUGCUUUUCAACCGUUCGCUACCCUCACCCGCCCGCCCGACUAGCAUCACUACCCUGGACGGUUCUGACCUAGAAUAUGUUGGCAACUACAAAUACCUAGAUGUCUGGCUAGACUGUAAACUCUCCUUCCAGACUCAUAUCAAACAUCUCCAAUCCAAAAUCAAAUCUAAAAUUGGCUUUCUUUUUCGCAGCAAAGCCUCCUUCACUCACGCCACCAAACUUACCCUAGUAAAACUGACUAUCCUACCGAUCCUCUACUUCCGCGACGUGAUCUACAAAAUAGCUUCCAAUACUCUACUCUGCAAACUGGAUGUAGUCUAUCACAGUGCCAUCUGUUUUGUUACCAAAGCGCCUUAUACCACCCACCACUGCGACCUGUAUGCUCUAGUCGGCUGGCUCUCUCUACAUAUUCGUGGCAAGACCACUGGCUCCAGGUCAUCUAUAAGUCUAUGCUAGGUAAAGCUCCGCCUUAUCUCAGUUCACUGGUCACGAUAACAACACCCCCCCGUAGCACACGUUCCAGCAGGUAUAUCUCACUGAUCAUCCCCAAAGCCAUCA